RNAcentral lists this ribosomal RNA (379 nucleotides) under uncultured eukaryote. RNAcentral describes it as "SSU rRNA". It matches the Rfam family "Eukaryotic small subunit ribosomal RNA", at positions 587 to 972 of the family's 1831-position model. The record is from RNAcentral.
AGCUCCAAUAGCGUAUAUUAAAGUUGUUGCAGUUAAAAAGCUCGUAGUCGAACUUUGGUUUAAACGAUAAAGGUCACCUAUUGGGUUGUACUUUUAGGUUUAAACUUUCCUUCUGGUGAACUAGAGUGUCAUUCACUUGAUGCUUUAGGAACCCAGGACUUUUACUUUGAAAAAAUUAGAGUGUUUAAAGCAAGCAAUCGCUUGAAUACAUUAGCAUGGAAUAAUAAAAUAGGACUUUGGUUUUAUUUUGUUGGUUUCUAAGACCAAGGUAAUGAUUAACAGAAACGGUUGGGGAUGUCUGUACUUAGCCGUCAGAGGUGAAAUUCUUGGAUUGGCUAAAGACAAACUUCUGCGAAAGCAUUCAUCAAGGACGUUUUCA